RNAcentral lists this ribosomal RNA (253 nucleotides) under uncultured bacterium. RNAcentral's name for it is "partial 16S ribosomal RNA". It matches the Rfam family "Bacterial small subunit ribosomal RNA", at positions 524 to 776 of the family's 1533-position model. The record is from RNAcentral.
UACGUAGGGUGCGAGCGUUAAUCGGAAUUACUGGGCGUAAAGCGUGCGCAGGCGGUUUUGGAAGUCAGAUGUGAAAUCCCCGGGCUUAACCUGGGAACUGCGUUUGAAACUACAAGGCUAGAGUGUGGCAGAGGGGGGUGGAAUUCCGCGUGUAGCAGUGAAAUGCGUAGAGAUGCGGAGGAACACCGAUGGCGAAGGCAGCCCCCUGGGCUGACACUGACGCUCAGGCACGAAAGCGUGGGGAGCAAACAGG